This 268-nucleotide ribosomal RNA is filed under the name uncultured bacterium. RNAcentral's name for it is "partial 16S ribosomal RNA". It matches the Rfam family "Bacterial small subunit ribosomal RNA", at positions 86 to 354 of the family's 1533-position model. The record is from RNAcentral.
UGUCGGCGACCGGCGUACGGGUGCGUAACGCGUAUGCAACCUACCCAUUACAGGGGGAUAACACUGAGAAAUCGGUACUAAUACCCCAUAACAUCCAGGGAGGCAUCUUCUUGGGUUGAAAACUCCGGUGGUAAUGGAUGGGCAUGCGUUGUAUUAGUUAGUUGGUGGGGUAACGGCUCACCAAGACAACGAUACAUAGGGGGACUGAGAGGUUAACCCCCCCACAUUGGUACUGAGACACGGACCAGACUCCUACGGGAGGCAGCAG